UUUGUUAGAUGGCUGAGGUUAUAAGCGAUAGACUGUAGAUCUAUUAACGGAGUUAAAUCUCCUCAACAAAU
This 71-nucleotide transfer RNA is filed under the name Tanea lineata. RNAcentral describes it as "tRNA-Tyr". It matches the Rfam family "tRNA". From Rfam's summary of the family: Transfer RNA (tRNA) molecules are approximately 80 nucleotides in length. Their secondary structure includes four short double-helical elements and three loops (D, anti-codon, and T loops). The record is from RNAcentral. Lineage: Eukaryota; Metazoa; Mollusca; Gastropoda; Littorinimorpha; Naticidae.